This 331-nucleotide ribosomal RNA is filed under the name uncultured eukaryote. RNAcentral's name for it is "partial 18S ribosomal RNA". It matches the Rfam family "Eukaryotic small subunit ribosomal RNA", at positions 1470 to 1796 of the family's 1831-position model. The record is from RNAcentral.
CCCUUAGAUGUUCUGGGCCGCACGCGCGCUACACUGUUCGACGCAGCGAGUCUUAACCUUGACCGAAAGGUUUGGGUAAUCUUCAGCAAAGUCGAACGUGAUGGGGAUCGAUCAUUGCAAUUAUUGAUCGUGAACGAGGAAUUCCUAGUAAGUGCAAGUCAUCAGCUUGCGCUGAUUACGUCCCUGCCCUUUGUACACACCGCCCGUCGCUACUACCGAUUGAAUGGUUUAGUGGGAUCUCUGGAUUGACGCUGGCUAGGGGGCGACCCUUGGCCAGACUGUUGAGAAACUGCUCAAACUUGAUCAUUUAGAGGAAGUAAAAGUCGUAACA